GGACAAAAAUAAUGAUCGGAAAAAGUAAUAUUAUUAUAAUUUUUUAUGUACCUAUACAACUCCGAGAAAACGUUUAUAUACGAGUUACGACUCAUCAAAUAAAAAUAUAUAUUUGUUUAAACCAACACGACGCAUAUCUAAUGCACGAAGAAGAAUAGUACUUAAAUUCAAAAUCGUAUAAAGUUUAUAUUUUUUGUCGGUCAAUAGGUAAGUACUAUAUGUAAACCCCGAUUUUGUAAGCGGGUUAACCGUCGCGACGGAAUCGUUAAAUAAUAAUAAAAAAAAAUUAUAAUGAUAAUAAUAUAUUAUGUUUGUGUAUACGUGUGAUGUGGAAACAACCGUCGUCAUUAAACGCGUGGGCCCUACUCGCCCGCGGCGGCAGAAGCUCGAAAACUAACGAUGUAUGUAUAUAUAUAUAUGUAGGACGUAGGUGUAAAUAGGCCGAUAUUAUGUAUUAUAUUUUAACGGGAAAUCCGUUAAACGCGCAGGAGCGAGCAAAAGGUCUCAAGAGAACCGGUCCCCCUUCGGACGGACAUUGCAAAAUCUCCGUGAAAUUUCCAUACGGACACGUCGUCGUCGUCGUACUUAUAUAACGAUAAUAAUAACGAAUGCGCGCCAAAAAGACGAGGUCCGCUACCCGGUUAUAGGGGGUGGUUGGCUCGAAAGGGGUAUGAAUUCCGACGCUAUAAUACGGCGGGUUCGCAUAUAAUAGACAUACGCGUAAUUUGUGCGGGUACCUAUACGCCGAUCGAGUGUGCAUGCAUAAUAUACAUAUAUUAUAUUAUUUGCGCAAGUGUGGCGGGUGCGUAUGUGUGGGAAGAAGACACACGUUCGGCGCGGGAGGGUAUACGUGCGGACAAUGCGAACGCACCGUGGGAGUCGUCGGGGCGUUUAUGGACCGGGCGAACCGGUCCCCGGACCGCGCAGCAUCCCGCCGAAAGGUAACACUACAAACAUUUCGCACGGUGAGAGAGACUUAUUAAUAUUACGCGUGUACACCCCCUAUUUAUAUAUAUGUAUAUUGUAUACAUACGUUCUUGUCUGGACACCGGCAUCAUAUAUAUAGUAAUAUCGUAAUUAGCAUAUACGUCAUAUACCUACAUACGAAGACGACGGUUAUUGUAAUUUUCGCAGUCCUAUAUAAGCCAUCGAGACGGGUUGUUACCGUUUUUGUAUCGGUGUCGAUACCAUUCCAACGACGUCUACCGCUGCUGCUUAUUCUGUUGCUGUCUGCUGCUGCUGCUGCUGCUGUCAUACUACGCGUUAUCGACCAUCAGAGUUUUAAAAUAAUGAAAAACGACGGUGAAAAAUAUCGACUGCUCACCAUAUUUUUACAUAAUAAUAUAUUAUUAUUGUGGCGUACCCUGUUGGAGUAUACGCUUAAUAUUAAAACGAUAAAAGAAGACAGAACUUGUGGAUAGUCAUAGACCAUAGUCCAUGCACAUGUUUCAAGCAACCAAACUUUACAGAAGCAUCUUUAUAUACUUGCAGGAUCAGAUUAAUAUAUUAUUGUACGGACAUGAGUCACAAAAUACAGAAGACGACCGACGAUCGAGUUCAUAUGCGAUCGGGGGAACGACAUGCGAUAAGUGCACAUUAGGCUAUUUCAUUAUGUCAAUUGAUCUCAAAGAGAUCAGAAAAGAAUUUGGAGUAUCGAAAAAGUCUGAGACACCUAUCAAGUUUGAAUUGUUACGAUGACGGUUUCAGACGAAUUUAAAUUUAGUUCGAGACAACAUAUAAACGAUUCGACGUUCGACGUGACUUAAAAAUAUACUUAAUAUCUAAUUACCUAUAUAUUUAUUAUAUCAAUCUCGAAAUCGUCUCUUAAAUAAUGUUAUUCGUUAUACGGAAAACCAGCGGCCGCGUAGAAAUAGUAGUAGGAGGCUCAUCCGGGGAUCGUCGACGAUUGCGAAAGGAGAAGGAAGGGAUGGCAGCGGGCAGCAACAUCCGCAGCAGCCGCCGAGGGAAUCUUAUCGGUCGCCGUUCCACACACACACACACACACACACCCACACACCCACACACGCACACACUAGCACUCGUCUACUCUAGUCCGCGAGUAUAUAUAGUGUAUAUAGUUUCGCCUUCAUUAUUCAUGGCCGUCAGAGGAUGCGGUCGCUAUGGUUACGACGCGGCGGCGGGCGACGGUAGGGACGGCGGUGCACGAGACGGCGUCGGCGGGGGUGGACGCGGCGGCGUGGGGGUAUUACUACACGCCCUCCGGCGCGGGUACCGCCGGUCGACCGCCCGCCGCCGCCGCCGUCCGCCCGCCCCGCCGGCCGGCGCUACGGUCCGGGUCGCGAGCGCCGUCAUAAGAAAAAUUCCGCUCGCCGUUUCUUAUAUUCCGCGCGCACGCCACCGAGACCGCAGCCGGCCGCCCUUAAGACGGGCUCAUCCCCAGGCCGCCGGUAACGCCGCCGCCUCCGUCGUCGUCGCCGCACACUCGCACGCAAACCGAGCGCCGCACGUAUUGAUCCGCGCGCGUUAGCUGCGUCCACCGCGAGCGGAGACCGCGCGCACUCCGUCCCUUUAUCUUAAUCGACCCGGCCGGCCGGCAGAGGAGCCCGCGAGAAGUUUGCGAAAAUUUCACACACACACACACGCGUACACGCGCACGCACAAAGGCACACGCGCUCGCUCGUUUCCAACCCUCGGUCGGUUGACGGGUCGUCGUUGUUCUUAGCUGCCUCCCUCUUAGGUGCAGUACCUACGUAUAAUUUUGUCACGGGAAUAAAUUUAUUUACGAAAAUCGUAAUAAUAAUAAUAUAAUAAUAAUACAAUAAAAUACAUUGGAAUUAUUUCGAGAAUUCGAGAUUGCCGAUCGCAUAAUUUACUUGUUUUGUAUACAAUUUACAUAAUAUAAUUGAUUUCAUAUCUAACUAAACCUAUAACGUUUAUCACGAAAUGCGAUUUUACAUAUUUUCACAAUUCUGUUUAUAGAUGUGAUCUAAUUCGUUUUCAUCGUCAAAUAAAAUCUAUUUCUAUGUAACCCUUUACACACUGAAUACGUCUGAACGUAUCUCCUGUGGCCUAUACACGACACACGUCCUCCAAUAAUUGUCUGCAUUACUUACUCUUAUUAUAAUAUGCAUUGUUAUUCCCGAUUCCUCCUUCCUAUUCGUUCCUGGGGUUCAAACGGGUCCAAGAUGCGCAAAAUACACAACCGGUCGGCCAAAUGUUUUAACGAGAAUUAUUCGUUAUAACUGUACUUAUAUUAUGAAGCAUGAUCGAGAAAAGUAAAGAAACUAGGGGAUGAUAUUCCUACAAUGUACCAUAUUACAUAUAUAUUUCAACAAAUACGAACGGUAGUCAAUGAUAUAACAGUUAUACAUAUUAUAAAGACAAAGACUAUAGCGCGUAAUAUUUUUAAACCAAUUCAGCUAUUUAAAACUUUGUUAAACGUUAAAUUACGCUAUAAUUUCCUGUCUUUUUCAAAAUUAACACAACAAUUCAAAAUGUAAAAAACAAACCACUAAACAUACUACGUCACGGUGAAGGAACCGAAACAAGUGUUCAUAUCCGGACUAAUGUAUCUUGUGCAGAUUUUUUGAACUUAGAUCAUUAGAUGAUUUGAUUUUGUGGAUCUUUUAAGUUUUAACAACUAAAAUUUUUCAAUUACAUGUUUCAAGAAAACUAAAUGUCACAAUCUUAUUUUCAAAUAUUUUAUACCAAACAGUUAUUUUUUUAAAUACACGUACAAAGAAAUUUAAAUCUAAUAUAAAAUCAUAAACAAUUCAAUGUAACAAUUGAAUGUAUUAAAAAUAUUUUGAAAACUACUAACUCAAUAAUAAUCCAUGGUAUAUACCUAUAUUAUAUCUACUAUGAGUUAUAUUAUGUAUGUUUUGUAGUAUUUAAAACUAUAUACGUGACAGAUUAAAUUUGUUAGGUUAAAUUCAAACAUUUGUUUAAUGCAUAUUUUAUAAGCUCAUUAGAACGUUUUCGUUUAACAUAAUAGUAGGUAUGUCAGAUGUAAUUAUUAUACACUAUACGACCGGCCGGUUUCUCUAUAGCCUCUCUUGGUCCAAUGCUCCUCGGCCACCUGCACGAGGUGAGCCCCGCGCAUACGGCCGACGGCCAGAGGAGGUUAUAAGUAUCCACAAUUCUACAUUCCAUCCCGUACUCAAAUCUUUACAUACAUAGAAACUGAUUAUUCAUGUUAUUUUAUCAUAUAUCUAUAUUAUAUAUAUUUGAUUUAAUUAGAAAUAUGAUUAAAUAUUAAAAAACCGUAUUUAUCUUCGUUUGCAAAUAACAUAAUUAUAGAUUGCCGUAAAUAAUAAAUACUGAUUAAAUCGAAUUGAAAUAUAAUUUUAAUCAAUUGAAAACCUUUUAAAAACAUAUAUUACAGGUGUGUUAAAAGUAAGGUAUUCAAAGUAUUCGUAAUAUUGUUGAUUUACGACCAUAAAUGAAUCUAUAUUUUUAUUUUCUAUUAUGUGAGUUGGGUUUAUUUGUAAAUAUUACAAAACCCAGUGACUGUAUCCCAUAGGAAAAUCAGUAGACAAUUUCACUUGCAAUACGUACCCAUAUUUGGCAAGGAAAUUAUAGUCCCGGUCGACACUACGUUGAAUCCGGAAGUAAUUUCAAGCUAAUGCGAUGGCUUUGCAAUUGAUUUUCUACACUCGUAAUCCCAACAAUCGUAUUUUAUUAGGUAACUGCUGAUGGAUGUUUUUCAGUUAGGUAAUAAUUGAAAUAAUCAAUUAAAUAUGUUAUAUUUCAACAAAUUAUUAUGACAAAUCUGUAUCAUAAUUAAAUAAUUAAAUUACACCACCCAUCCACCCUAAAUAAUUUAUACUUUAGGUACCUACCUACUAAAUGACUACCUAGUACCUACUGUAUAAAUAUUUAAUACACUACAUUAAAAUUAUGUGGUAUGUAUUAACUAAUAAUACAAUUAUAAAUAUUUUACAUUUAUUAUUUUAAAAGUAUAAAAUACCAUUUUUAUUCAUCAAAACGGUUUAUUAUAUGUUAAGACUUAAGGAUAUUAUUUAUUAUAAAAACUAUAAAACUACUUAAAUACUGAAAUCUCAAUAUUAAUUAAUAAUAAGUAAAUAAACAAACACUAGAAGCCAAAUAAAACCGCUACACCUGUAUUUCGUGUUAAAUAACGAUUUGUACAAUCUCUUUGUUAUAUUAUGUCGGGGCAUAGGUAUUGUCAAAGAUUCGUUUAAAGCUUUCUCGGUCCAAGCAUCCCAUCCGGUGACAUUCAACAAAUAAGCAUGCUACUAUUCAUGUACUUAAAACAAAAGAUUAAAUGGAAUUACUAACAUUUUGUUUCGUAUUUACUAUUUUUGUUUAAUUUUGUGUUUAAUUAAAUGCACAGUAUGUAUAUACACGUAAUACAUAUAUUAAUUGGUAGGCAUUAGAAACAUUCGCCGUCGAAUAAUAUAAAUUGUUAUUUUAUAAUUAAUAACAUAAAUAAUUCUUUCAUUUGAUUAAAAUUAUUUUUACACUUAAAAAUAUUAUUUAAAGCAAUAAAUAAUUUUUUAAAAAUAC
Aphis gossypii (cotton aphid) is the source of this 5490-nucleotide long non-coding RNA. RefSeq lists it as uncharacterized. NCBI's taxonomy places the organism in Eukaryota, Metazoa, Arthropoda, Insecta, Hemiptera, Aphididae. The transcript has 5 exons. The record is from RefSeq and is a predicted model, not a curated record.